UUGGCCUACGGGAGGCAGCAGUGAGGAAUAUUGGUCAAUGGCCGAGAGGCUGAACCAGCCAAGUCGCGUGAGGGAAGACGGCCCUACGGGUUGUAAACCUCUUUUGUCGGGGAGCAAAGCGAGUCACGUGUGACUCAUUGAGAGUACCCGAAGAAGAAGCACCGGCUAACUACGUGCCAGCAGCCGCGGUAAUACGUAGGGUGCAAGCGUUAUCCGGAUUUACUGGGUGUAAAGGGCGAGUAGACGGCGUUGCAAGUCAGAUGUGAAAGGCUAGGGCUCAACCUUAGGAGAGCAUCUG
RNAcentral lists this ribosomal RNA (298 nucleotides) under uncultured bacterium. Its description in RNAcentral is "partial 16S ribosomal RNA". It matches the Rfam family "Bacterial small subunit ribosomal RNA", at positions 334 to 629 of the family's 1533-position model. The record is from RNAcentral.